AUGUCCAGCAACCUUGAUGUCCUGCAGAUGACGGAGGAGAAUAUCCUCAAAUUCCUUGAUGGCACCAACCUUGACUUUCAGAUGGAGCAGUAUAUCUACCAUCUACAAAAGGAAAAGGGACAAUGUCUACAUCAUAAAUCUGAAGAGGACCUAGGAGAAGCUGCUGCUCGCAUCUCGAGCUGAUGGCAGCAUCUUCUCCUCCAGGAACACUGGCCAGCAACUGUGCUGAAGUUUGCUGCUGCCAUUAGAGCCAUUCUCAUUGCUGGCCACUUCACACCUGGAACCAUCACUAACCAGAUCCUAGAUGCCUUCAGGGAGGCAUGGCUUCUAGUGGUGACUGACUCAGGGCUGACCACCAGCCCCCACAGAGGCCUCUAAUGACAACCUGCCCACCCUUGCUCUAUGUGACACAGAAUCCCUGAGCUAGUGGGCACUGCCAUCCCAUACAACAAGGGAGCUCACUCAUUUCGUCUAAUAUGGUGGAUGCUGACCUGGGAGGUACUAUCUCCCAUGAACACCCAUGAAAGAUUAUGCCUGAUCAUUUUCACUUCUACAGAGAUUGACAAGGAGGAGCAGGCUAUUGCUGAGAAAGUUGUGAUCCAGGAGAAAUUUUAAGGCAACUGGUGGCCAACUGGUAUGAGGGGGUACAGGUGUUCUCUGUGCCCAUCCAGCAGUUCCCCACUGAAGACCUGAGUGCUCAGCCAAUCACAAAGGAGUGGACAGCAGCUCCCACAACAUAGGCCAUGGAAAGGGUUGUAGCCACCACUGAGUGGUUCUGA
RNAcentral lists this long non-coding RNA (779 nucleotides) under Mus musculus (house mouse). RNAcentral describes it as "long non-coding RNA chr4:56387801-56388580". Lineage: Eukaryota; Metazoa; Chordata; Mammalia; Rodentia; Muridae. The record is from RNAcentral.